GAACUUAAGCAUAUCAAUAAGCGGAGGAAAAGAAACCAACAGGGAUUACCUCAGUAACGGCGAGUGAAGCGGUAACAGCUCAAAUUUGAAAUCUGGCCUCACGGUCCGAGUUGUAAUUUGUAGAGGAUGUUUCGAACGUGGUCCGGUCUAAGUUCCUUGGAACAGGACGUCAUAGAGGGUGAGAAUCCCGUAUGCGACUGGGUGCCUAAGUUCAUGUGAAACUCCCUCGACGAGUCGAGUUGUUUGGGAAUGCAGCUCAAAAUGGGUGGUAAAUUUCAUCUAAAGCUAAAUAUUGGCCAGAGACCGAUAGCGCACAAGUAGAGUGAUCGAAAGAUGAAAAGCACUUUGGAAAGAGAGUUAAACAGUACGUGAAAUUGUUGAAAGGGAAGCGCUUGCAACCAGACUUGCACGCAGUUGAUCAUCCGGUAUUCUUACCGGUGCACUCGAUUGUGUUCAGGCCAGCAUCGGUUUUGGUGGUUGGAUAAAGGCCUUGGGAAUGUAGCUUCUUUCGGGAAGUGUUAUAGCCCUCGGUGCAAUGCAGCCUACCGGGACCGAGGACCGCGCUUCGGCUAGGAUGCUGGCGUAAUGGUUGUAAGCGACCCGUCUUGAAACACGGACCAAGGAGUCUAACAUCUAUGCGAGUGUUUGGGUGUCAAACCCAUACGCGUAAUGAAAGUGAACGGAGGUGAGAACCCUUAAGGGUGCAUCAUCGACCGAUCCUGAUGUCUUCGGAUGGAUUUGAGUAAGAGCAUAGCUGUUGGGACCCGAAA
RNAcentral lists this ribosomal RNA (770 nucleotides) under uncultured fungus. RNAcentral's name for it is "eukaryotic LSU rRNA". It matches the Rfam family "Eukaryotic large subunit ribosomal RNA", at positions 30 to 821 of the family's 3401-position model. Lineage: Eukaryota; Fungi. The record is from RNAcentral.